Molecule: transfer RNA, 75 nt
Filed under: Klebsiella sp. NCTC 9187
Lineage: Bacteria; Pseudomonadati; Pseudomonadota; Gammaproteobacteria; Enterobacterales; Enterobacteriaceae
Description: Raoultella sp. NCTC 9187 tRNA-Gly(ccc)
Rfam family: tRNA
About the family: Transfer RNA (tRNA) molecules are approximately 80 nucleotides in length. Their secondary structure includes four short double-helical elements and three loops (D, anti-codon, and T loops).
Source: RNAcentral
GCGGGCGUAGUUCAAUGGUAGAACGAGAGCUUCCCAAGCUCUAUACGAGGGUUCGAUUUCCCUUCGCCCGCUCCA